CAGAUCCCUGCGAGCAUUUUCAAAAUUCAGUUAUAUUAGACAACAGGCACAUAUGCAAUACUGACAUAAUCUCAAAUACCACUAAGCAGCUGGGACACAUUUUUGUUGACCAUACUCGCAGGUAAAAUAAGUAGAUUAUGUGGACAGCUCCAGCUCAUUUUCCUUAAAUCAGUGUGUACAAGGGGUAUGCAAAAAUAAUUUUUUUCUCGCGCACCGAUUCUUUUGCUGUAUAAGCAAGAGAACCCACCACGUUAGUGUAACGUAUCUUGUACAUCACACUAAUAAGUGCUUUAAUUUACCAAGUGAGAUGAGUUACUUUUAUGGAUCAUUCAGUCAUAUCACACUGCAAGCUGCAUUCAUCAAUCUUCAAUUGGAUUUCGCAUGAAACAUGUUUCCCUUUUAUGCAGAUGUGCAAUGGCAAGCCCUUCCGUGUGUUCCAAAGGUAAAAUUUAAGCUCGAAAUUAAAGAAGACAUUUCUAGUCAGAAACAAGCAAAAAUGGUGAAUGCAGAGUAUCAGAAGCCCAAGGUACAGAAAUUAUGAGAAGUGUCGAAUGAUUUUAAGGAAAGAAUGGUAUUUGAAGAUGCAAGAUUCUUUAGUGGAAAUCAAGCAAGUCAGUAUAGGUAGAAUACUCUGAGAAAUUAUGCGAGUAAUGGGAUAGCACACAAUGGGUCAGGAAAUGCGUUGUUUUUCUGAAAAACUAAAGCUGAUGACUGUCAUAUCAUGAGUCACUUUAGCAUCAUGAGACUGCUGUUUGAUAAAUUCAGAAACAAACCAAAAAGCAAGCCAUGCAAAAAUAAAAAAAAAACUAUUUAAUGAUGCUCUCUCCACACUGGGAUAAAUAAUAAGAAACGGAUCACGUCUAAUAUGGACAUAUCCGACACCUUGUGAAACACUAAAGGAAAAAUUCAGUUUCGAGCUAUGGCACUUGCCGCAUAGAUGUGGGGGGCCUUGCACCAAUAGUAAUAGUUACCACUGCAUCUAGAAAUUUAAAGCAUUCAUGCAGACAAGGAUGAUUCUUUACAUUUUUGGCUACCACUUCAAAUGCCUCCACUAAGUGUUACAAUGCUGCACGCAGCCAUACUAAGGAUCUCACAGCAACACUUGCAGGGAAACAGCAAAAGCAGUCAAAGUGCUGGUGUAUUCUGGACACUGUCUUUGAAAACUUUUAGGCAAGAACAGUGCAAGAAACAGACAUAAGAACUGCAUUUAUUUCUAUAAUUCCCCAUUUGAAUGGCCUUUUCUUUUUCCUUCGACAAUGCCUUCGCCUAGCCACAGCAGCUCCCUCAUACAGACUCCGCAAGCCAAGAGGCCGUGGAGGCAAAUGCAGACAGCCAGCCCAUCUCGAACAGCCACCUUGACUGCGGGUGUGUCACCCUAGUCGCCAAGGAAACAUUUGAGGGAAAGCGACAGGCAAUGUGAACAGCCACUUCUCCAUGUAAACGAUACUCUUUCUCUCGGAUGACUCCUACGUUCGCCACGCCAGCACACUUGUGCACAAAGAUGCCGCGGAGGCAAGUGCAGGUCAGAGGCAAGAAGCAGUGGCACUGGUGUCGACAUUCGCCCAAUUUCUUUUUCUUACACUGAGGCAGCCAGCACACCUCGAACAGCCACCUUAACUGCGGGUGUGUUAGUAGAUUCCUGUUGUACAUAUGCUCAUAAUAAACUUCAGUAAACUUGAACUUGAUAAUAAACUUGAAGGCAAAUGGGA
Long non-coding RNA from Dermacentor andersoni, 1709 nucleotides. RefSeq lists it as uncharacterized. NCBI's taxonomy places the organism in Eukaryota, Metazoa, Arthropoda, Arachnida, Ixodida, Ixodidae. The record is from RefSeq and is a predicted model, not a curated record.